UAGCGGCGGACGGGUGAGUAACACGUGGGUAACCUGCCUGUAAGACUGGGAUAACUCCGGGAAACCGGAGCUAAUACCGGAUAGUUCCUUGAACCGCAUGGUUCAAGGAUGAAAGACGGUUUCGGCUGUCACUUACAGAUGGACCCGCGGCGCAUUAGCUAGUUGGUGGGGUAAUGGCUCACCAAGGCGACGAUGCGUAGCCGACCUGAGAGGGUGAUCGGCCACACUGGGACUGAGACACGGCCCAGACUCCUACGGGAGGCAGCAGUAGGGAAUCUUCCGCAAUGGACGAAAGUCUGACGGAGCAACGCCGCGUGAGUGAUGAAGGUUUUCGGAUCGUAAAGCUCUGUUGUUAGGGAAGAACAAGUGCGAGAGUAACUGCUCGCACCUUGACGGUACCUAACCAGAAAGCCACGGCUAACUACGUGCCAGCAGCCGCGGUAAUACGUAGGUGGCAAGCGUUGUCCGGAAUUAUUGGGCGUAAAGGGCUCGCAGGCGGUUUCUUAAGUCUGAUGUGAAAGCCCCCGGCUCAACCGGGGAGGGUCAUUGGAAACUGGGAAACUUGAGUGCAGAAGAGGAGAGUGGAAUUCCACGUGUAGCGGUGAAAUGCGUAGAGAUGUGGAGGAACACCAGUGGCGAAGGCGACUCUCUGGUCUGUAACUGACGCUGAGGAGCGAAAGCGUGGGGAGCGAACAGGAUUAGAUACCCUGGUAGUCCACGCCGUAAACGAUGAGUGCUAAGUGUUAGGGGGUUUCCGCCCCUUAGUGCUGCAGCUAACGCAUUAAGCACUCCGCCUGGGGAGUACGGUCGCAAGACUGAAACUCAAAGGAAUUGACGGGGGCCCGCACA
Molecule: ribosomal RNA, 849 nt
Filed under: Bacillus sp. (in: firmicutes)
Lineage: Bacteria; Bacillati; Bacillota; Bacilli; Caryophanales; Bacillaceae
Description: bacterial SSU rRNA
Rfam family: Bacterial small subunit ribosomal RNA
Source: RNAcentral